This is a long non-coding RNA of Heterocephalus glaber (naked mole-rat), 354 nucleotides long. The record is from Ensembl. NCBI's taxonomy places the organism in Eukaryota, Metazoa, Chordata, Mammalia, Rodentia, Bathyergidae.
GGGGGGGCUCAGGGUAAAGACCCUCCAGGGAAGGUGUCCUGCUUCUGGCUACUAUCCCGUGUCUGGUCAUGGGAACCUUACCCUGUGAGGUAUCAAGCUUUUCCUGGAGUCAUUUUUAUGCCCACUCGCUUCCUGUGCAUAAUUCUGUGCCAUGGUACAGGUCUGUGUGUAAUGAAAGCUAUGCUGGAACUUGUGCAGAAAGCAGGCUGAGGACCCUCCCAUGGGCCUCUUCCCACUCACCACCGGAUGGCCAACAGUUGAACACCAGGAUUUCAUCACAUGUCCCACCUUUGGCAUCUCCUGGCAGAACUAUUUGCCCAAAAAUAAAAAGAAAUAAAAUUCCUUGACCAUCCC